This 52-nucleotide ribosomal RNA is filed under the name Trichomonas sp. LAL-2010. Its description in RNAcentral is "partial 28S ribosomal RNA". The record is from RNAcentral. Lineage: Eukaryota; Parabasalia; Trichomonadida; Trichomonadidae.
UAAGCAAAACUAUACGUAGUCUGCGAUAUACAGGAAGACCCGCUGAACUGAA